This 492-nucleotide ribosomal RNA is filed under the name uncultured bacterium. RNAcentral's name for it is "partial 16S ribosomal RNA". It matches the Rfam family "Bacterial small subunit ribosomal RNA", at positions 29 to 507 of the family's 1533-position model. The record is from RNAcentral.
AGUGAACGCUGGCGGUAGGCCUAACACAUGCAAGUCGAACGGCAGCACAGUAAGAGCUUGCUCUUACGGGUGGCGAGUGGCGGACGGGUGAGGAAUACAUCGGAAUCUACUUUUUCGUGGGGGAUAACGUAGGGAAACUUACGCUAAUACCGCAUACGACCUACGGGUGAAAGCAGGGGAUCUUCGGACCUUGCGCGAUUGAAUGAGCCGAUGUCGGAUUAGCUAGUUGGCGGGGUAAAGGCCCACCAAGGCGACGAUCCGUAGCUGGUCUGAGAGGAUGAUCAGCCACACUGGAACUGAGACACGGGCCAGACUCCUACGGGAGGCAGCAGUGGGGAAUAUUGGACCAUGGGCGCAAGCCUGAUCCAAGCAUAACGCGUGGGUGAAGAAGGCCUUCGGGUUGUAAAACCCUUUUGUUGGGAAAGAAAAGCAGGCGGUUAAUAACCCGCUGUUCUGACGGUACCCAAAGAAUAAGCAACGGCUAACUUCGUG